This 123-nucleotide non-coding RNA is filed under the name Heterosigma akashiwo. Lineage: Eukaryota; Raphidophyceae; Chattonellales; Chattonellaceae. The record is from RNAcentral.
AAGGAGUGGAAUGAAAGUGAAGAAGAGGAAGAUGAUAUGAUACAUGCAACAUCAUCUACAUGUAGCCUUUUUUCGUUCUUCACGCAUCAUCAUCCUUCUUUUUCUUCUUUUUCUUUUUCUUCU